AACAACUGAAUUGCUGAUCAUGAGCGAUUUUUCUAGUUGAAGACGUCAUGACGGGCGUCACUGAGGUGACGGUCUGCGCAUCAUGUCCAUGACGAGCGUCACUCAGGUGACAAUUUGUCCGUCAUGGCAUUUGCACAUGCGCCCAUUGUUUUCUCUUCCCUGACUUACGAUGUGGCCAUUGUAGAGCUAUGACGACCAUCAUGACUGGAUUGCGCACGUCAUAACAGUCAGAACUUAGUAUAUAUUUUUUUUCUUU
This 256-nucleotide long non-coding RNA is filed under the name Lathyrus oleraceus (garden pea). RNAcentral's name for it is "Pisum sativum (pea) long non-coding RNA (PSAT_LNC028804)". The record is from RNAcentral. Lineage: Eukaryota; Viridiplantae; Streptophyta; Magnoliopsida; Fabales; Fabaceae.